AAGCUGGCGUCUUCGGCGUCCGCGUUGUAAUCUCGAGACGUGUUUUCCGUGCGGCUCUAUGGACAAGUCCCUUGGAACAGGGCAUCGUAGAGGGUGAAAAUCCCGUACUUGCCAUGGAAGUACCGUGCUUUGUGAUACACGCUCCAAGAGUCGAGUAGUUUGGGAUUGCUGCUCAAAGUGGGUGGUAGACUCCAUCUAAAGCUAAAUAUCGGGGAGAGACCGAUAGCGAACAAGUACCGUGAGGGAAAGAUGAAAAGCACUUUGGAAAGAGAGUUAAAAGUACGUGAAAUUGUCGAAAGGGAAGCACUUGAAGUCAGCCAUGCUGCUUGAGACUCAGCCUGGCUUUUGCUUGGUGUAUUUCUCGGUAGCAAGCCAGCAUUGGUUUGUGUCGUCGGAGAAGCGUAUGGGGAAUGUGGCAUCCUCGGAUGUGUUAUAGCCCUGUGCAGGAUACGACGACGUAGACCAAGGAACGCAGUGUGCCCUC
This 484-nucleotide ribosomal RNA is filed under the name Malassezia restricta. Its description in RNAcentral is "partial large subunit ribosomal RNA". It matches the Rfam family "Eukaryotic large subunit ribosomal RNA", at positions 119 to 609 of the family's 3401-position model. Lineage: Eukaryota; Fungi; Basidiomycota; Malasseziomycetes; Malasseziales; Malasseziaceae. The record is from RNAcentral.